RNAcentral lists this ribosomal RNA (704 nucleotides) under Citrobacter freundii. RNAcentral's name for it is "bacterial SSU rRNA". It matches the Rfam family "Bacterial small subunit ribosomal RNA", at positions 800 to 1505 of the family's 1533-position model. Lineage: Bacteria; Pseudomonadati; Pseudomonadota; Gammaproteobacteria; Enterobacterales; Enterobacteriaceae. The record is from RNAcentral.
CCGUAGAGUCGACUUGGAGGUUGUUGCCCUUGAGGCGUGGCUUUCGGAGCUAACGCGUUAAAGUCGACCGCCUGGGGAGUACGGCCGCAAGGUUAAAACUCAAAUGAAUUGACGGGGGCCCGCACAAGCGGUGGAGCAUGUGGUUUAAUUCGAUGCAACGCGAAGAACCUUACCUACUCUUGACAUCCAGAGAACUUAGCAGAGAUGCUUUGGUGCCUUCGGGAACUCUGAGACAGGUGCUGCAUGGCUGUCGUCAGCUCGUGUUGUGAAAUGUUGGGUUAAGUCCCGCAACGAGCGCAACCCUUAUCCUUUGUUGCCAGCGGUUCGGCCGGGAACUCAAAGGAGACUGCCAGUGAUAAACUGGAGGAAGGUGGGGAUGACGUCAAGUCAUCAUGGCCCUUACGAGUAGGGCUACACACGUGCUACAAUGGCAUAUACAAAGAGAAGCGACCUCGCGAGAGCAAGCGGACCUCAUAAAGUAUGUCGUAGUCCGGAUUGGAGUCUGCAACUCGACUCCAUGAAGUCGGAAUCGCUAGUAAUCGUGGAUCAGAAUGCCACGGUGAAUACGUUCCCGGGCCUUGUACACACCGCCCGUCACACCAUGGGAGUGGGUUGCAAAAGAAGUAGGUAGCUUAACCUUCGGGAGGGCGCUUACCACUUUGUGAUUCAUGACUGGGGUGAAGUCGUACAAAGGGUAAACCCGA